UCAGGUCCCGCGGGCAGCAGCCAGCCCCUGCUGGACACAGUCCAGCCAGAGCCCUUGGCCAGGGCCCCGGUGCCAAAUGCCACCAGCGCAAGGCAUUCUGGGAGAGCCUGAUGCUACGGGGGCUCGGUCUCUGCUUGGCUGCAGCCCAAGAGCAAAGCUGCAGUCAGCAGCGUGUUGUGGUAACCUUUCCUGCACACCAGCAAACCCUCAGCACAGCAGGCCCAGCCCCCUGCAGGGCCUGCAGCCGCCCCCGGGGGAUUAAGAGGCUCUGGCCAGCCAACGAGGGAAGCAAUGCCCUGGCUCCAAGAGCGGCAAGGGCCCUACAAGGGCACCGAAUGGAGCUGCCUGGGGACUGGCCUGCGCCAUCCCCGCUGGAGAGCUCCUGGUCCAAGCAGGCCAACGCUCCUGGCGUUUCCUCCCCUUGUGUCCAUGGCGGCUUGGGCUGCAUUAGCGCUGCGCAGCAGAGUCUCGUUGGGGUGGAUAACGGGGACAUGCCUGUGCCCUCUGCUGCCGGAGGAACUUGGCCAAGAUCAGACACAGGCUGACAUCCAAUGCUCUGCAGUGGGAGAAGCCGCUCCCUGCCCUUGCCCAGAUCUUGCUCCAGGCCUGAGAGGUUCUUUCUCAGCUGCGGCCUCUUGCCUAGGCCAGCUGGUAUCGAACCCACCGUCCUCUCGCACAGCCGCAGCAGAGGGCAAGGAACCCGUGGAGCAAGCUGCCAAGCCCGUCUCUUGCUGCCUCCCUCCCCUAGGAGAUCUGCUUUAGCCAGCGCAGGUCACGUGACCUUAACUCAGGAGCAACCGGACGAAAUCCCACAGCCUGGGUUAGCCAGGAGGUGAGACGAACACGGGCUGUCACGUACCAGGUCAGCCUGGGAGUGCCUGGCUAACAGCACCCUGCUCAUGCUCACCACUCCCGCCCGCGCUGCGAGCAAGAUGGCUCACGUUUGAGUCCCAUGAACCCCCCACAGUACCAGCCCUGUCUCCUUCCCCCCCGCCCCCCAGGAAACUGAGGCACCCACAUGCUUCAUCUC
Long non-coding RNA from Trachemys scripta elegans, 1030 nucleotides. RefSeq lists it as uncharacterized. Lineage: Eukaryota; Metazoa; Chordata; Testudines; Emydidae. The record is from RefSeq and is a predicted model, not a curated record. The transcript has 3 exons.